RNAcentral lists this ribosomal RNA (499 nucleotides) under uncultured bacterium. RNAcentral describes it as "partial 16S ribosomal RNA". It matches the Rfam family "Bacterial small subunit ribosomal RNA", at positions 28 to 507 of the family's 1533-position model. The record is from RNAcentral.
GAUGAACGCUGGCGGCGUGCCUAAUACAUGCAAGUCGAGCGAACAGACGAGAGUGCUUGCACUCUCUGACGUUAGCGGCGGACGGGUGAGUAACACGUGGGUAACCUACCUAUAAGACUGGGAUAACUUCGGGAAACCGGAGCUAAUACCGGAUAAUAUUUAGCUUCGCAUGAAGAAAUAGUGAAAGACGGUUCUGCUGUCACUUAUAGAUGGACCCGCGGUGUAUUAGCUAGUUGGUGAGGUAACGGCUCACCAAGGCAACGAUGCAUAGCCGACCUGAGAGGGUGAUCGGCCACACUGGAACUGAGACACGGUCCAGACUCCUACGGGAGGCAGCAGUAGGGAAUCUUCCGCAAUGGACGAAAGUCUGACGGAGCAAUGCCGCGUGAGUGAAGAAGGUUUUCGGAUCGUAAAACUCUGUUGUAAGGGAAGAACAAGUACGUUAGUAACUGAACGUACCUUGACGGUACCUUACCAGAAAGCCACGGCUAACUACGUG